CGCGGUGAAGUGGCUGUCAGGAUGAUAGGGCUUCACAAGAGGGGACACGCUGGAGAGCGUAAAGGAAAAGCUUCAGGAACGGAGCAAGAGGAGAGCGCAGGAGCGCUAAGGGACACCUCCAGGAAGGAGAAUGAGAGCCGAUCAGGAUGAACGGUGGGUCAGGAUGACUAAGGACGAUGCGUCAGGGGGGCGCAAAGUAAACGUCAGGAUGAUGUGAUGCAGGAUGCAUUAAAAAGGAUGACAGGUCGCAAGGCCGCUGGAAAAGUUGUCAUGGACGAGCAGGGAGCACUAAAAGUAGCCGGACUGCUGCGAAACGAACCGGGAGCACUGUUUUUACAGUGCUCCCUUUUUUUA
RNAcentral lists this non-coding RNA (354 nucleotides) under Franconibacter helveticus. The record is from RNAcentral. Lineage: Bacteria; Pseudomonadati; Pseudomonadota; Gammaproteobacteria; Enterobacterales; Enterobacteriaceae.